AGAGAUUGCAUCGAAUACAUAUUCACAAAACGAAGUAGAUGUCUAGUAUGAUAUAAUUCAUUGUAUCGAUGGAAGACAAAAUUGGGAAAAAUAUGAAAACAAGAGGCCGUCACAACGACAGCAAACCGGAUUUAUUAAUAUUUAUUUGUGUCCUGGCAAUAUCACAAGAACCAUUACUGAUGAAUGGUGAAAGUGCAAAUCGUCAAUAUCAAAUUUGACCUCCAUUUUGUCAUCAGUAUCAACAUAUUAAAAUUUGAAAAGCUUAGAUUGAAUGGUUCAUGAGUAAAUGCAACAACGUGAAUAGAAACGCCAUUUUACAAUCUUUCAAGAACCAUAACGCCUGAACGGUAAAAGUCAAAAUCGUCAUUAUUGAACCUGACCUCUAUUUUGUCAUCAGUAACAACAUAUAAAAAUUUCAAAAGCUUUGGUUGAAUGGUUCAUGAGAAAAUGCACGGACACGACAGGAAACACCAUUUUUCAAUCUUUCAAGAACCAUAACUCCUGAACGGUAAAAGUCAAAAUCGUCAUUAUUUAACUUGACCUCUAUUGUGUCAUCAGUAACAACAUAUUAAAAUUUGGGAAGCUUUGGUAGAACAGUUCAUGUGUAAAUGCACGGACACAACUGGAAACUCCAUUUUUCAAUCUUUCAAGAACCAUAACUCCUGAACGGUAAAAGUCAAAAUCGUCACUAUUGAACUUGACCUACAUUUUGUCAUCAGUAACAACAUAUUAAAAUUUGGGAAGCUUUGGUAGAACAGUUCAUACGUAAAUGCACGGACACGACUGGAAACUCCAU
Molecule: long non-coding RNA, 796 nt
Filed under: Mytilus galloprovincialis (Mediterranean mussel)
Lineage: Eukaryota; Metazoa; Mollusca; Bivalvia; Mytilida; Mytilidae
Source: RNAcentral